AAUAUAGCCCCGGAUAGUGGGAGUUAGAAUAUUAAAGCUUCCCAGGAUAGUGGGAGUUAGAAUAUUAAAGCUUCCCAGGAUAGUGGGAGUUAGAAUAUUAAAGCUUCCCAGGAUAGUGGGAGUCAGCUGUGAGAAUAUUACCCAGUUCACAUUUUAAGGUAAGAGACAAAAAACGUGUCUGUUAAUGUUAAAAAGAACAUCACUGGUUUACACUCACUCUAUGUCGGAAAAUGUUUCAUUGCCACCAGAGUGCAAAGUAGCCUAUUGUUGGGCUAAGUCUUGUUUAUUUAUUUUCAUGAAGAGGCUAAAACAGAAAGGCUAGCCAAUACCUAACGUACCUAAUCCGUAUAAUAACACAUGAAUAUGUAGGAUCAUAAUUAGGAAAUGCAAAAUCUUUCGUUUUUUAUUCAAAUAUGGACUGGAAUGAAAAAACAAUAUGUAGAAUAUAAAGGGUGAUAGACGUGAAAAUGUGAACUUCGGAGUGGUGUGGGCAAUCAAUUUAAUAGGUGCACACACCAAUAAAGCUUUCCCAUUUGUUUGACAUUGUCAAGACUACUGCUGUUUAGGCAUGCGGUUGCGCUUGCAGGGUUUGGUGUCAAGGUGUUUGUGAGUGAGUGUGAGCGGCCUGUGCAGAUCAAAUUUUGCUGCAUAUUUUGGAAAAUGAGCAUAAGUUCAUACACUUACUACUUCCACAUUUCUAGGAUAUUAGUAGUCCAUGAUGGGUGUUAGUAGUCCACGAGGGGUGUUAGUAGUCCAUGAUGGGUAUUAGUAGUCCACGAUGGGUAUUAGUAGUCCACGAUGGAUAUUAGUAGUCCACGAGGGGUGCUAGUAGUCCACGAGGGGUGUUAGUAGUCCACGAUGGGUAUUAGUAGUCCACGAGGGGUGUUAGUAGUCCACGAGGGGUGUUAGUAGUCCAUGAUGGGUAUUACUAGUCCACGAGGGGUGCUAGUAGUCCACGAGGGGUGUUAGUAGUCCACGAGGGGUGCUAGUAGUCCACGAGGGGUAUUAGUAGUCCAUGAUGGGUAUUAGUAGUCCACGAGGGGUGCUAGUAGUCAUUGAUGGAUAUUAGUAGUCCACGAUGGGUGUUAGUAGUCCACGAGGGGUGUUAGUAGUCCAUGAUGGGUAUUAGUAGUCCACGAGGGGUAUUAGUAGUCCACGAGGGGUGUUAGUAGUCCACGAGGGGUGUUAGUAGUCCAUGAUGGGUGUUAGUAGUCCACGAUGGGUAUUAGUAGUCCACGAUGGAUAUUGGUAGUCCAUGAGGGGUGCUAGUAGUCCACGAUGGAUAUUAGUAGUCCACGAGGGGUGCUAGUAGUCCACGAGGGGUGUUAGUAGUCCAUGAUGGGUAUUAGUAGUCCACGAGGGGUGCUAGUAGUCCACGAGGGGUGUUAGUAGUCCACGAGGGGUGUUAGUAGUCCACGAGGGGUGUUAGUAGUCCACAAGGGGUGUUAGUAGUCCACGAGGGGUGCUAGUAGUCCACGAGGGGUGUUAGUAGUCCACGAGGGGUGUUAGUAGUCCACGAGGGGUGUUAGUAGUCCACGAGGGGUGUUAGUAGUCCACGAUGGAUAUUAGUAGUCCAUGAUGGGUAUUAGUAGUCCACGAGGGGUGCUAGUAGUCCAUGAUGGGUAUUAGUAGUCCACGAGGGGUGUUAGUAGUCCAUGAUGGGUGCUAGUAGUCCAUGAUGGGUAUUAGUAGUCCAUGAUGGGUGUUAGUAGCCCACGAUGGAUGUUAGUAGUCCACGAGGGGUGUUAGUAGUCCACGAGGGGUGCUAGUAGUCCAUGAUGGGUAUUAGUAGUCCACGAGGGGUGUUAGUAGUCCACGAGGGGUUCCACGAGGGGUGUUAGUAGUCCACGAGGGGUGUUAGUAGUCCACGAGGGGUGUUAGUAGUCCAUGAUGGAUAUUAGUAGUCCACGAGGGGUGUUAGUAGUCCACAAGGGGUGCUAGUAGUCCAUGAUGGACAUGAACCCAGCUAACAAUUCUAGGGAGAAAUAACGUUUUUAUAAUGUUCCCCGCAAUGUUCCCCUUUUGUUUGAGUGUCCAGUUCUCUGUUAGUUAGGGGAAAAUUCUAUCUAUGUUAACAGAAACCUUCUGAGAACCUUUAUAGAAUGUUUUGGUGUUACAAUUUGACAUGAACAUUCCCUUAAUGUAAAACAGAACUUAUCAAGAACAUGGUUACAAUGUUCUCAGAAUGUACAAUAUUUAUGUUCUAGAAACGUUUCAUGUGUAUCAGUUGUCGCCAUUCCCAAAGAAAUGUCUCCCCCCCAAAAAAUAAAAUUCAUUACACAUCACACCUUGUUACUGUUGCCACGCCCAUCAAGGCCCUGAUUGGCAAAGCACUGACGCAUUCAUAGCUCUUUGCCUGUCGGUUAGCGACACUCACACACAGUUCUUUUGACAUACAGUAUUUUCAACUGACAUAUUCGACAUACAUGAUUACAUUCUGCAUUUUUAUUUAUCCGAAAAUGAUUGUUCAACAUGUCCUCUCCUGGGAUUUGAAAUCACAACUGCUUGGUUUGCAGGACUCCGAUGUUCCUGCUACGCCACCAUGUCUGUGUAAGUUGUCAGUUCAUUUGACUGUAAUUACGCUGUGUGAUUAAGAACUUCCUGGACAUUGUGGAGAUGCAUAAUAUAUCUUAUUUACUUUUUAUUUCGAGAAUCAGCUUUAAUUUAAGGCCACUUGAAGUGCAAAUGCCGAACAAUUGUGGUAAAUCUCUGGUAAUGCUCCAAAGCCUCUUGGGACAGCUUUAUGUAGAGGCCCUAACAGCUUUAUGUAGAGGCCCUAACAGCUUUAUGUAGAGGCCCUAACAGCUUUAUGUAGAGACCCUAACAGCUUUAUGUAGAGGCCCUAACAGCUUUAUGUAGAGGCCCUAACAGCUUUAUGUAGAGGCCCUAACAGCUUUAUGUAGAGGCCCUAACAGCUUAAUGUAGAGGCCCUAACAGCUUUAUGUAGAGGCCCUAACAGCUUUAUGUAGAGGCCCUAACAGCUUUAUGUAGAGGCCCUAACAGCUUUAUGUAGAGGCCCUAACAGCUUUAUGUAGAGGCCCUAACAGCUUUAUGUAGAGACCCUAACAGCUUUAUGUAGAGGCCCUAACAGCUUUAUGUAGAGGCCCUAAAAGCUUUAUGUAGAGGCCCUAACAGCUUUAUGUAGAGGCCCUAACAGUUUUAUGUAGAGGCCCUAACAGCUUUAUGUAGAGGCCCUAACAGCUUUAUGUAGAGGCCCUAACAGCUUAAUGUAGAGGCCCUAACAGCUUUAUGUAGAGGCCCUAACAGCUUUAUGUAGAGGCCCUAACAGUUUGUCACCAUUAUAGUGUAAUUCAUGUAUUGUUUAGUGUUGUGUUGUGUAGUGGCUUUGCUGGCAUGCAUCUAAAACAUUUUUGGGGAGUUUGCCCCACCAAGAUUUACACUGAUUUAGCAUGUAUAUUAAACUAUGGUGAAUCGCUGUAUGGUAAUGUUUCAAUGCUGUAUGUCCCAUCAGUGCCACGUCUGUUUGGAGCCCCACCUGUUUAGCAAAACAAUAUAUAUGUUUUGCCUUUUUUUUAAUGUUAUUUUAUCACAUAUCAGUUUGCAAACAAUGUACAAAAAAAAAAGUUAAUAAAGAC
This 3596-nucleotide long non-coding RNA is filed under the name Salmo salar (Atlantic salmon). Its description in RNAcentral is "lncRNA (ENSSSAG00000115258.1)". The record is from RNAcentral. Lineage: Eukaryota; Metazoa; Chordata; Actinopteri; Salmoniformes; Salmonidae.